This 87-nucleotide transfer RNA is filed under the name Candidatus Buchananbacteria bacterium CG10_big_fil_rev_8_21_14_0_10_42_9. RNAcentral describes it as "tRNA-Ser". It matches the Rfam family "tRNA". Rfam says of the family: Transfer RNA (tRNA) molecules are approximately 80 nucleotides in length. Their secondary structure includes four short double-helical elements and three loops (D, anti-codon, and T loops). The record is from RNAcentral. Lineage: Bacteria; Candidatus Buchananiibacteriota.
GGUGGGAUGCCGGAGUGGUCGAACGGGGCGGUUUCGAAAACCGCUGUGCUGGCAACAGUACCGGGGGUUCGAAUCCCUCUCCCACCG